AUUGAACGCUGGCGGCAUGCCUUACACAUGCAAGUCGAACGGUAACGGGCCUUCGGGUGCCGACGAGUGGCGAACGGGUGAGUAAUACAUCGGAACGUGCCCGAUCGUGGGGGAUAACGAGGCGAAAGCUUUGCUAAUACCGCAUACGAUCUACGGAUGAAAGCAGGGGACCGCAAGGCCUUGCGCGGACGGAGCGGCCGAUGGCAGAUUCGGUAGUUGGUGGGAUAAAAGCUUACCAAGCCGACGAUCUGUAGCUGGUCUGAGAGGAUGAUCAGCCACACUGGGACUGAGACACGGCCCAGACUCCUACGGGAGGCAGCAGUGGGGAAUUUUGGACAAUGGGCGCAAGCCUGAUCCAGCCAUGCCGCGUGCAGGAUGAAGGCCUUCGGGUUGUAAACUGCUUUUGUACGGAACGAAAAGCCUUCUUUUAAUACAGGAGGGUCAUGACGGUACCGGAAGAAUAAGCACCGGCUAACUACGUG
This 482-nucleotide ribosomal RNA is filed under the name uncultured bacterium. Its description in RNAcentral is "partial 16S ribosomal RNA". It matches the Rfam family "Bacterial small subunit ribosomal RNA", at positions 30 to 507 of the family's 1533-position model. The record is from RNAcentral.